UGGGGAAUAUUGCACAAUGGGCGAAAGCCUGAUGCAGCGACGCCGCGUGAGGGAUGACGGCCUUCGGGUUGUAAACCUCUUUCAGCAGGGACGAAGCGCAAGUGACGGUACCUGCAGAAGAAGCACCGGCUAACUACGUGCCAGCAGCCGCGGUAAUACGUAGGGUGCAAGCGUUGUCCGGAAUUACUGGGCGUAAAGAGUUCGUAGGCGGUUUGUCGCGUCGUUUGUGAAAACCAGCAGCUCAACUGCUGGCUUGCAGGCGAUACGGGCAGACUUGAGUACUGCAGGGGAGACUGGUAUUCCUGGUGUAGCGGUGAAAUGCGCAGAUAUCAGGAGGAACACCGGUGGCGAAGGCGGGUCUCUGGGCAGUAACUGACGCUGAGGAACGAAAGCGUGGGUAGCGAACAGG
RNAcentral lists this ribosomal RNA (409 nucleotides) under bacterium. Its description in RNAcentral is "partial 16S ribosomal RNA". It matches the Rfam family "Bacterial small subunit ribosomal RNA", at positions 355 to 776 of the family's 1533-position model. The record is from RNAcentral.